AAGUUAAGAGCUGGGGAGAGAGCUGUCUGGGAACUGUCCCUUUGGGCAGGUAAAGGCAGUGGGUUACUCUUCAGCAUGAUGUUAGCGUGUGCCAGGCAGGGCAGCUCCAGCCUGUGUGUAUCGUUGUGUGGUCUGUUGUUUGUGUCUCAGACCCUCCUUGGGUCCCAGUCUCCUCUUUGUGCUCCAGGAGCACAGCAUUUACCUUGCAGCCCAUCCUUAGGUCUUGAGCAUCAUCUGUGCUCGCCAUCGUAGUGCCCAUUGGGUGCUGCUUUUCUUGCCUGAACUCAAAAGCACAGCUUAGCCUCGCGACUCAGAUGUCUCCUCUUGAUCCUUUUUUGCGCCAGUGUUGUGGUCAGUGUCACCAGCCCCGCUCUGGAGGCUUCUCUUUCACAGGGAGCCCUUUUUUUCUGGCCGUUCUUCCUUGUGUCCUUGCAUUCUUAGGUCUUGCCAAAGCUUCUUGUCCAUCAGUCUGUUUCAGUUCUGAAUGUAGCUUCUUGUCACAGUUUGCAAUGUUUGACCUUUCUCUAGGGCUGCCUUGUGGCCUCCUUAUGGCUGAAACCAGAAGUGAAUUGAGUAUAGGAAUAUUGGAACUAAUGUGUGUGGGAUAUCAGUUCAAAUUGCAUGCCUGUUAAAGACUUGUGCAAACUGACAACUGCUUGACCUAAGUAACUUGACUUUUGACUAGACUUGUGACUUGACUUAGCAUGAGUAUCUGGAGUGAUGAGGCCUUAGGCUGCAAUUCUAAUUAAUCUUUAGCUGAACUCCUGUGAUGUUCACAGUUAGACCUUCACUCUACCAACUGUAAUAAUACUGAAACAAGAUAUGGACAUGAUAAUUACUCAAAAUGAUCUUCUAAACUAGGAAGAUGCAUUGACUGAAAGUUAAGUGGGAGCAAUUGGACAAAAUUGGAAUGUUGAAGAUUUUUCCAGCUGAGAAACAAGUGGAAGAGAACAAGACUGGAAGCACCCAGGUCAAGCUGCAGUAAACUGAUUCUGUGGCAGAACUGAGGGUCUGAGCUUCUCUCUUUGGUUUGGAGGUGAAGACUGGAUCCAGCUGCACCUAGGCUCUGCCCUGAGAAGAAGUUGAGAAACCAAGGAGGUCCUGUCUGAACCUCACAACUCAAAAGGAGGGUCUUUCUGGACUCUUCAACACUCAUCUCGUGCUUGCGGUCCUGUAUGUCUUGCUACCUGGUGGCAUCUGCAUUGGAACAGUAAUUUUUCUUGCUGAGAGUUCUCUCUCGCUGUUGUUGCAUCCUUUGUGUUUGUGUAUUGUGUCUCUGUGCUGUUGGGCUGGAGCUGCUCUCUCUGGAGGCUGUAGUAACUGUGGGGUUGGGAGAAGAAUAGUAACGAGAGCCUGUGGUUCAUGUUGCUGUGCUGUCUGUGACUGUUGAGGCGCAGAUGGAGCAUUUGAAGUGAAGUAGCAGCCCUCAGCAGGGGAGGGCAGUCACUUUCAUAGUGUUUUUGAGAGGGGGUGGCUGGAGCCAUCUAGGAGAGGCUGCUGGAGCAAUAGCCAAGCAGGUUGGGUGUUCAGGUUGUUAAGGCCUGAACUUGUGGGGCAUAAUGUUAACUUGUUUUUUUAGCUUCAUUGUAGGUAGUUAGGAUCUAGAAGAUAUUCCUAAAUGGGAAUCUCUGGAAUUGCAUCCAGCUGAUUGCUUGUUACUGCUUUUUCAUAUGCAGGGAGAUGAGCCACGCACCAGAGGGUGAUGGAGGAGAGGAGCAGAGUGUGGUGAGGAGCUGGGUUGGUGCAUAUUGAAGAAUCUGGGUGGAAAGCACCGAGGUAAGCGGGAGAUCUGCACUGGAGGUGACUCGAGCAAGGCAACACACAGGGCUGGAUGUGGCAACCUGUAACCAUCAGAGGCUGGACAGAUGCCACAAGCAAGGAUGGCCUGAGUAUCCGAUUCUGGAACCAGCAGAUCACUAUGAGGAGCCUGACAAUGGCAGGAACUUCCUGGUGAGGACAGCUUGUCAAAGAGGAUGGCUGCAGAGCCCUGGCCAUC
Long non-coding RNA from Apus apus (common swift), 1996 nucleotides. RefSeq lists it as uncharacterized. The record is from RefSeq and is a predicted model, not a curated record. Lineage: Eukaryota; Metazoa; Chordata; Aves; Apodiformes; Apodidae. The transcript has 5 exons.